RNAcentral lists this ribosomal RNA (200 nucleotides) under uncultured bacterium. Its description in RNAcentral is "partial 16S ribosomal RNA". It matches the Rfam family "Bacterial small subunit ribosomal RNA", at positions 8 to 224 of the family's 1533-position model. The record is from RNAcentral.
AGAGUUUGAUCAUGGCUCAGAGCGAACGCUGGCGGCGUGCCUAACACAUGCAAGUCGAACGUGAAAGAGGGGCAACCCUUGAGUAAAGUGGCGCACGGGUGAGUAACGCGUAGGUAAUCUACCCCGGAGUCCGGAAUAACCUGCCGAAAGGCGGGCUAAUACUGGAUAGAGCGACGGAAUCCGUAAUUGGGUUUUUCGGG